This is a long non-coding RNA of Acanthochromis polyacanthus (spiny chromis), 3537 nucleotides long. RefSeq lists it as uncharacterized. The transcript is spliced from 2 exons. Lineage: Eukaryota; Metazoa; Chordata; Actinopteri; Pomacentridae. The record is from RefSeq and is a predicted model, not a curated record.
CAGGAUAGCGAUGUUGUCAGCCAGGAUGCCAGUGUCCAAAGAGUACUGCGUGAACUUCUGCUGCAGGACAGCACUGGUCUCAGGAGUACGACCUGCAAACACGGAUGUUUGCGUGCUCUCUACUCACCCUGGCUAUGGAAGGUGAAGCGUCCAGGGGUUUCAGUUUUCCUAGCCAGGUGAGUCAUUCUCCAGCAGGUACCAUCAGCACUGAAAUAAGAGAGAAACCAAAAUCAGUUCAUGUGUUAAUCUUCCUAAAAAAAACCUGACCACUAGGAUGUUUUAGUUUGAUAGGAAUCACUCACUUCAGUUUGGAAUAAGAGAGGUCCAGGUCUCCUCCUUCAGUUGGCGAUAGCUGAGCAACGCCUGACUUCAUCGAUGCCUUGUGAUUCACAAACCACUGAGCGUUGGUAGCAAAGCCAACCAAGUACCACUUGCCUGCCAUCUAUAAGAAAGACGGAAGGAGGAUAAUGAAUAUUCUUCUCACUCAAUCAAUCAAUGAGUAGUAGUUAAGAAGUUUUCUAAACUUUUGUAUAAUCCUGACAGUAACAUUUGCUCAGUUCUUGAUUGCAUCAAACACAUCAAGCAGCCACAGAUACUAAAUAACUCUUUCUUAAACUUUUUCCUGUUGAUUUAAAUAUUUCUCUCUUUCUCCUACCAUCUCCAGGUUGAAGUCUUUCACAGGCAUGACAUCUGCACAGGUGGCCAGCGUGCACAUUAAGGCAGCCAGCAUCUUCAGCAGUGUGUUCCUCAUGGCUUCUUCUUUGUGUGUUCUGAGCUUCUCUCCGGCAGAUGAGGAGUAUCAGGACGAUGUAACGUGGUAAGGCCAGCGGAGGCUUCUUAUAUGCUCUGUCUCCUCCCUCCCCCUGCUCCCUCCCUCCCUCCUGCCGCUACCUUCUGCAUUACAAAAACUCUCUGGCCUUCACCCAGCCGCCUGCAAAUCACUGCCGUUACACAACUGGCACGUGCGGACGGAGAAGGUGAGGAGGGGAGGUGAGGAAAAGGGGGGCAGUUGGUGCAUAAUGGGGUUCUUUUAACACCAAUCCCCUCCUCCCUCCACCACAAAUGCUUCAAAGGCAUGACCGGCCUAUCAAAACAGCUGUUUGUUUGUUAAGAGUGCAAAUGUCUUCACCAUAUGGCACACGGAAGCCCCACGAAAUGCACCAGCAACAAGAGAUCAGGAAGACUUUUACAAAUCUCCAGGAGCCCAUCUGGGAGCCACUGAACUCCAUCUGAAUAGAUAUCAAAGCAUUUCACAGUUUGCUGGGUAAUUAACCAAUUGCAGUGAAUAUUAAAUGCAUGGCCAGGAGCUGUGCAGCAGUGUUAUUUAAGGACUCCACAGUGAAAACCAGGUCUACUAUCUGUAAUAAAUAACCAGCGAUUUGAUCCCACUUUGCAUGUGGAUCACUUCUUAUUUUGAGUGUUAACAGUUUCUUAAAACUUUUGAAGCAUGAAGACAUAGCGAUAUCAGUUUUAUAACAACUGAUUGAUCAGGGAGAGGUGAUUGAACCACAUCAUCUUGUGUGACCUUAAAUGUUGCCUUGAUCUCUGCUUACUGAGAAAGCAACUCCCUUUAAUCCAUUACAUUGUGCGACACUUUGUAUAAUUCACAAUGCCUAAUACAUUAGGUGCUGAUUAGCAGUGAAUUCUGCACAGCUCCCUUUGUUCGGAGACUAGACAGGCACCGGCUUGCAAUCAGCUGGUUAUGUAACACACAAACACACACGUGCUGGGUGGAGCCAGGGGGAAGCUGUUGAGGGGUGCAUUUGGUAACCUGGUUUUGUAACCAAACUCUUACAACCCCUUUUGUGCUUCACAUCUGUGUCUAAUUAUCUCCGGCCACAACCCCCAUCCCCUUAUUUUGUGUCCUCAGGGGCACGCAUGCAGUCCCACACUCUACAUUUUCUAUCCCAGAAUGAAAAGUCAGGAUGCAGCUAACAUGAUAAUGACAGCACCACAGAAUUAGCUGAUGGCAUGCAAGGAAACUGUAGGUUUCUUCUAAGCUGAGAGCAUUUGACAAUAAUUAGAUUUCAUGUUGUUGUUUUAUUUUUCUGCAACCAUUUUAAAGGUUUUUCCACAAGUUUAAUGCACUGGUUCGUUCUUUCGGCAACAUUCCCUCUGUGGCCCAUUGUGCAGCUCCACCUCUUCAACAUGUGGGGACACAGUCUGUAAAACAAGGAGUGUUGACAGGGUAAAUUACAUGGAAGCUGUGCUGAUGUUUUCGGCAGGCAGUGAGAGUUGGAUAACAUGUUGUUGACAAAGUUAAAAAACUGCUUGUUUCACACGUGCUCACAUGCACGGCCUGCAGGAACAAAUGUUAGGGAUGGUCCAUUGCCUCUCUCUCUUGCUGUCAUUUUGCUUUCCAAACACAUUUUCAUCAAAUAAAUAGUCGGACGCUGCUCGUAAAUGCACAUCUGCACAUUUUGUUAAUGCGUUGUGAAGUUGUGGCCUGUUAUUACAUGGUGAAAACGGUGAAGGUAUCAUAAGUCUGUUAGAUCUUUCCCAUUUUGGAAAGGAUUCUCGUGAACCCAAGUAGCAAUCUCAGAGACGUACACUCAGUAAGGACCGUAUUUCAGCUGUGCUUUAUCACUAAAAGGUGGAGUGUGCAAUUAUGGAGAAAGAUUGCUGAUAUUUAGCACGUGCUCAGUGAAAUAUCCCUCUCACUCCUACCACCUGCUUUUCCUUCCAUCUCCCUUCCCCCUUCCUGAUCCUCUGUGCUGUGAUUGAGGCGUGCUGGAAUACCAUUGUGUAGAUCAGAGCCAGGGCUAUCACAUCAGAAUACUCCACCUUUAAUUUCAAUAAAACAUGCUGUAUAUUAAAACCUUUAGUGGUGUCUUCUUCCUGGAUUGCACACGCUUUGUUGUCCUACUAUCACUGUAAAAUAUCUUUCUAAAACCUUGUAGACCUUUUAAACCUGUAUCAGCUUUUAUAACAUCAGUAACUAAUAAAGGAGCCACUGUGGGAAAUGGUUGUGUUUUAUAAUUUGCUAAGAGUGCAUAUUAAAGAGUUGCAUUGGUUCUGAGGAAUAGGAAGGUCAAGAGCAUCAUUACCACGGUGUGACUGUAAUGAAACAAAGAAGAUAAGUCCAGCUUUAUUUUACUUAUUACUCAUCUGAUUGAAUGCAAGGAUGAUCAAGACAUAAAGUGACUGAUAAUCAAAGUACAGACAGUUUUUGAUAACAAAGGUACAGAUAGUUUUUGACAUAAGCCAUAAUCAGUAAAGAACAUGAGCUUGUUGUGUGUGCAGUCUCUAAUCUUGCUUUGCAGCGGUGAAGUCAUUCCUACGAGAGUGAUAACGACAAAACAUCAGCUGUGACAGAGGAGAGCGGAGCAACGCAGCACCGGAGGGGACGGCCAGCCUAGAUAGAUAGCUAUACACACUGUUAGAGUAUAAGAAGACUGGGUCAGGAACAGUUAGCAGUCUGAAUCCAUCCGAACUGACUGAACACUUGUUGGUGGUUCGGGACAGAGGAUUCAGGCCCAGAGCUCUGUAUCGCACAUUCAGUUUUGCUGUAAUAAAUACUUUUGAUUUUAACAAGAA